This 3328-nucleotide long non-coding RNA is filed under the name Coffea arabica (coffee). RNAcentral describes it as "long non-coding RNA (CARA_LNC003491)". Lineage: Eukaryota; Viridiplantae; Streptophyta; Magnoliopsida; Gentianales; Rubiaceae. The record is from RNAcentral.
ACUCCAAGUUUUGCAAAUUUCAUCUCCAAAUCUUGCUCAAACCUUCACCAAAUUCAACCAAAAUUUAACUACACUUAGCUCAACACUUGGGAAGUUCAUCUAGCUACAAAAACAAGGAGCUUUCCACGGAUUUCUUGGAGCUUCUAAGGAUCGAAAAUACUGCCUAGUUCAUCAACCAAAGUAGGUAAUGAUCCAACACUCUAAUCUUGGUUUAUGGAGGUUGAUUAACACCUUUAAGCUCUUGUAUUCAUAUGGGUGGUUGUUAUUGUUGGAAAAUUUGGAAGGUGGGCUCUAUGAAUUCCCACCCUUGUCUUGAUGGCUGAUGUGAUGAUUGAUGAUGGAUUUAGUGUUGGUUUAGUGCUCAAAAUGGUAGAUUAAUGGUGUAUUAUUAGUAGAAACUUCAAGGAGUGCAUGGAGUAAAAAGUUCCGAUUCUGCCCCUGCUUUGAACGUACCUAUUUCUGUAGAAUUUUGGGGAUUUAAUGGCUGGUAUAUGAUAUUUAUAUGUUUUAUAGAUGGUGUACAAAAUUUCAUUGAAAAAUAUUGAGGUUUGGUUGGGCAAAUGAAUUAAUUUCGUGAAGGUAGCAGACCUGGAAACUGUUCCCGUAAUGCUCAGACCAGUCCUUUUGUUUCAUCUAUAACUCUGUGCUUCGAUGUCGAAAUCGAGUGCCGUCAGUGGCAUUUGAAACUAGACAUUCCCACCUUUUCAACGGUAUAAAAUACACAUUCUGAUUCCAUGUAUGUGAGCCGAACCAACCUUUUAAAAUCGGCUGUUCUGUUUCUCUGUUUUCCUGGAACAAAAUGCUGAGGCUGCAACUUGUGGCUCGAAUUCGAGCUAGUUGUGUGCCGAAUUUCAAAAUGAUUUCUUCUGUGAAAUUUUAGCUCUAUGAAUUUAUUUUCCAACGCCAUAAACCAUGCCCAAUUCUGAGUUAAGUUGAGCGAUUUAUGAUCAAAAUACGCAACCUGCCCUGCUCUUGAAAACCCUAACUUUUGGACAGAUUUGAUGCAAGGCUUGGUGUAGACUUGCUAACUGAAUAUUUUGGUGCUAAACACUUAUGAAAUGUGCCAUGAAUGUUCCUUAGGCUUUGCCUACACUAAUGAGCCAUGUUUGAGGAAUUUUUCCUUGACCAAAUGUUUGGAAUGGAAAACAAAAGGACUCAAGGCAGUUUUGUCUUAGGAUUUUCGAAAUUUUGGUUGUUUGAGUGACUACCUUCCCGAAGGUAUUUUUUCAUGAAAUUUGAUAGAGGGAUACACUUUAUAUAGGAGUAUUAUACUGCCAAAUUUUGUACCAAUCCAAGUUCAUUUCGAUGCCUAACUAAAGUCCCAAAGUUGGAAGCUCAAAUCUGGAAAUUUGUUCCCCAGUUUUGAAUUUUUCCCUAACUUUGAGCUACCGUAUCUCGGUGCUCGAAACUCCGAUUCUUGAUCCGCUUUUUCUGUUAAAAACCUUACUUGCAACUCUAAUUGAGUUACAGAUUUCAGAGGCUAGCUCGCAACGUGUGAAUUUUUCCAAAUUUCCAAAAUUAGCGAAAAACCAACCCCAACACAACCUUAAGUACUCUGAAACAGUAACUUUGAGCCCAUUUUUGAAUAUCUUCCAUUUAGAAUCAUGGAAAAGUGUCUUCUAAGAACUUUUAGUAAUUUCUAAGAGGUUUCCAACGGUACCAAGUUUUCCAAUUUUGGACUUGUGUAGAGUGAGAUACGAUUUUUCAAAAACUCGUAUCAAAACGGAAAUUUUCCGAAUUCUAAGAAAAUGGAGUUUUUCAAGUACUCCUUAUUCCUUUAAUAUUUCUUGAACGUUUUAUACUUGAUUUCCCAAAAUGAAAACUCGAUUACCGUGUACUUUAAGAAAUUUCAUUUAAAUCUCGAUUUACGAGUAAUUGAGGUUCGUUUUCAUGAAAUUUCAUUAGAUUGUACUAGUGUACAAUCUUCCUUGAUAAUUGGGAUAUAUGAGUGAUACUUCACUAUUAUGUGCUCAGGCGCACACAAGAGGAACUUCAAGAGGAUCCCACGGUGGAUGCUUGAACUUCGAGUGCCGUUUCUUCUUGUUUACCUGGUGAGUGUCAAGUGCAUGUUAAAUACUUAUGUAAUUGAAAUGUGAAUUGUACAAGUGUUAUACAUGAUACGUAAACUUGUUGAGACGAGUGUGUAUUUUAUCGCGCUCGUUCUCAUUUGGGGAAUGCUACAGUUAAAAUGUGCUAUGUGAAUUGAUAUUCGAAUUGUGUGAAAUGAAUUGUUAUAGGAAUUAAGUGAAGUGUUGUUAUUGCCAACCAUAUUUGUGUUGUGAUGUCGAGUGGAGUGAGCCUCCUCGACUUAUGUGUAUAUACGUGAGGACACCCUCGUUCUCUCUUUCCUUUAAUUAUGCAAUACUUGUUACAUGGAUACACAUGAUCGGUAACUGUUCAUAGACAUGUUUAACUCGUAAGCUCUGAGGGGAAGCAUGUACCACACCGAUUCGGAUGGGAGGUACCUCUCAUCCCGGCUAAGUGCUAUACUCGGUUCCUUGAGCGAUAGUAUUUACCACACCAAUUCGGGUGAGAGGUACACUCAUGUCGACUCAGAACCAUGAACAAUAAUUGGUAAUUGUACAUGAAUAUGUUUAACUCAUGAGCUUUGAGUGGAUAGCAUGUACCACACCAAUCUGGGUGGGAGGUACCUCUCAUACCGUCUCAGUGCUAUAACUGGUUCUCGGAGCGAUAGCAUGUACCACACCGAUUCGAGUGGGAGGUACCUCUCAUGUCGACUCAAAACUAUAAAUAAGGUAUAAGUCGAUUGGAGCGAUGUCUCAUCGACCACUGAACGAUAGCAUGUACCACACCGAUUCGGGUGGGAGGUACCUCUCAUGUCGACUCAAAAUCAUACUUGAAAAAGUGAAAUUCUACGAACUUGAUUACCUAAUUGGGUGAUGGAAUGUCAUCACAAGGAAGUAUUAGAUUGAAUUUUGACAAAACAAAUAGAAAUUAGCUCAUAAGAGUUCUUGUAUCCUACUCAAGGGUAUCUUAGUAUAAAUUGUGAAUCACCUGAAUAUUAUAGCUCUCAUUCUUGUGUAAGUGCUAUUGUUAUUUGGACUACGCGAAUUGCAUGUUUUCUUGGCCUCACGAGCAUUCGCUCACCCCGUUAGAUUUGUUUUCUUUAACAGGAGCUGCAAUGAAAGGAAUUGUGAAAAGGUUGAUUUGAUGGCCCUUUUGAUUAGAAUUUUGAAUGUAUUCAUUUAGACAACUUUUGGAAGCUGUAUAUUUUAGUAAUAUAAGAUAUUUUGGUAACUUAUGAUGUAAGACUUGAACGGUUAUUAAGGAAUUGACUUUCCUUUAUACCUUCGACUUUUAGUAUCGA